This 476-nucleotide ribosomal RNA is filed under the name uncultured Methanomethylovorans sp. Its description in RNAcentral is "bacterial SSU rRNA". It matches the Rfam family "Archaeal small subunit ribosomal RNA", at positions 861 to 1338 of the family's 1478-position model. The record is from RNAcentral. Lineage: Archaea; Methanobacteriati; Methanobacteriota; Methanomicrobia; Methanosarcinales; Methanosarcinaceae.
GGAAUUGACGGGGAGCACUACAACGGGUGGAGCCUGCGGUUUAAUUGGACUCAACGCCGGAAAACUCACCGGGGGCGACAGCAAUAUGUAGGUCAAGCUAAAGACUUUACCAGAAUCGCUGAGAGGAGGUGCAUGGCCGUCGUCAGUUCGUACUGUGAAGCAUCCUGUUAAGUCAGGCAACGAGCGAGACCCGUGCCCACUGUUGCCAGCAUGUCCUUCGGGACGAUGGGUACUCUGUGGGGACCGCCGAUGCUAAAUCGGAGGAAGGUGCGGGCUACGGUAGGUCAGUAUGCCCCGAAUAUCCCGGGCUACACGCGAGCUACAAUGGUUGGUACAAUGGGUAUCUACCCCGAAAGGGGACGGGAAUCUCCUAAAACCAAUCUUAGUUCGGAUUGAGGGCUGCAACUCGCCCUCAUGAAGCUGGAAUCCGUAGUAAUCGCGUUUCAAAUAGCGCGGUGAAUAUGUCCCUGCUCCUU